RNAcentral lists this unclassified non-coding RNA (192 nucleotides) under uncultured Strophariaceae. RNAcentral's name for it is "sequence contains ITS2". The record is from RNAcentral. Lineage: Eukaryota; Fungi; Basidiomycota; Agaricomycetes; Agaricales; Strophariaceae.
AAUUCUCAACCCUAUCAGCUUUUGCUGAUAGUGGCUUGGAUGUGGCGGCUGCUGGCUCCGGUCAGCUCCCCUUAAAUGCAUUAGCUGGUGCCCUGUGUGGACUUGUCUAUUGGUGUGAUAAUUAUCUACACCGUGGAUGUCUGUCUGCGCACUGCUUCUAACCGUCUGUUCAUUCGGACAAUACAUAUGACA